AGAAGGCCUGAAGUCACGUCAAACGGACUUUGCCUCAAAGGUGAAUGAAAAUGGGAGCCUUAAAGGAAGGUUCAUCAUAUUUUAGAAAAAGAAUCAUGGAUAAUAAUGCGUUAAUAGAAGAAGCCUUUGGCAAGGUUGAACCUCAAAAGUCCUGUUAUACUUCUGAUACAUUUGCAUUGCGACAGUGGAAGGUUAAUUACCAUAACAAUUUCCUCAGCAUAAACCCAAUGUUGACAAAAAAUAAUUUCCUUCACCUAACAUCCAGGCCUGAAGAGAGAUGCAAGACAAACCUUGGGGAUUCUUUGGCUUGCUUUGAUUUCUCUCACACAAAAGAUCCUUGUAAGGUGUUUCCGGU
RNAcentral lists this long non-coding RNA (355 nucleotides) under Fragaria vesca (wild strawberry). RNAcentral describes it as "long non-coding RNA (FVES_LNC001583)". Lineage: Eukaryota; Viridiplantae; Streptophyta; Magnoliopsida; Rosales; Rosaceae. The record is from RNAcentral.